GGGAGCGCAUCGGGUUCUGGUGUCCCGCACGGCCUUCAAAGCCGCUGUUUCCCCGCAAAACGGGGAAGGGUGGGUUCGAUUCCCACACGCUCCCGCCA
This 98-nucleotide transfer RNA is filed under the name Nitrospiraceae bacterium. RNAcentral's name for it is "tRNA-Sec". It matches the Rfam family "Selenocysteine transfer RNA". The record is from RNAcentral. Lineage: Bacteria; Pseudomonadati; Nitrospirota; Nitrospiria; Nitrospirales; Nitrospiraceae.